AGCAAAAGAACAGGCGGGUUUGCUGCUGCCCUGUCCUUCCCUCUUGCCCUGAAUGCUGGUGUGAUGCCUAACACAGCUGCAGCCACCUUGCCACCAUCAGGUGUUGAGCAGGAGGACAAAAUGCCAACAGGCUCAGGGUGGCAGAGUGGGAAGGGAGAAGGAACCCGGAAUUCUGACAGCAUCACUGAACAGGCAGACAGCCCAACACAAUCCUAAGCAACCCAAGUGGGAGAUUUCGGGCAGAGCGACCUUUGUGCAGUAAGUCGUGCCGGGGCCGGUGAGAGGCUCUCUGUGACUGGAGUGAAAGAGGCUGCAGGGGAAGGUCGGGGACAGAAUAUAAAAGGCCCACGUUGCCAUGCAAAGGAGUUCAAAGGAGAGGUUUCCAGAGCUUCAAACAAGGAAGUAAGAUGAUCAUAUUUGUGAUUUAGAAAAAUAACUGCAAGAAUCCUGUAAAGGGAGAAGUGUCACCCCUAAAGCCGCAGCAACGACCUGCAGACAGCGGCCCGCGCGGUCUGGCACGAUCCACAGCCUCAGCACAGUUGCCGUGUGAUGCGUGCUGAACUGAUUGAAAUGAAGUUACCCUAAUUAUUUUCAGGUGACACACACUGCUUCAAUCAACUGCUAAAGUGAUUCGCAAAAGUCGUGGGUGUGUCUCUGGCUCCGCCACUAAGUCAGCUGAUGACCUCGCCAUGUCACUUCCCUCUCUGGGCCUCGGCAUCCUCAUCUGCAAAGGAAAAGGUAGAACUUCGUCUCCCUUUCUGCAGCAGUCCUGUGACUGACUGCACACGGCAACCAGGAGAGGUGUCCUGGCUCCCUCCUCUUUACGCCCACAAAACAGGAAGGGGAAGUUGGUGGGACGCCUGAGCCGAGAAAAUGGCUCAGUAGCUGAUGCCCCACAAGCCUGAUUUAGGAAAGAAAAACUGCAGAUCAAAUAUACAUAUUUCUGUAGGUCUCAAAUUACCCACGUCCCAAUAUGGUUCUCUCUCUCCACAUAAAAUACAUGUAAGGUUGUGUUGUUGUUUACUCUUCCAACUAUUGUUUCAGAACCAAGGAUGAGGGGAGAAGGGAAAUCAGAUGUUUUCUCGCAAAGCCUUCAAAUAAAGAGUGAUCAAUUAGCUCCCCAAAUUAGGCACACACUGGGGA
RNAcentral lists this long non-coding RNA (1143 nucleotides) under Equus caballus (horse). Its description in RNAcentral is "lncRNA (ENSECAG00000045513.1)". The record is from RNAcentral. Lineage: Eukaryota; Metazoa; Chordata; Mammalia; Perissodactyla; Equidae.